GGUUGAUCCUGCCAGUAGUCAUAUGCUUGUCUCAAAGAUUAAGCCAUGCAUGUCUCAGUACAAGCCGCAUUAAGGUGAAACCGCGAAAGGCUCAUUAAAUCAGUUAUGGUUCCUUAGAUCGUACCCACACUUACUUGGAUAACUGUGGUAAUUCUAGAGCUAAUACAUGCAAACAGAGCUCCGACCGGAGACGGGAGGAGUGCUUUUAUUAGAUCAAAACCAAUCGGCGGCGGGCGCGUCCGCGCGUCCGUUCGCCGCUCUACCUGGUGACUCUGAAUAACUUUACGCUGAUCGCACGGUCUCGCACCGGCGACGCAUCUUUCAAAUGUCUGCCUUAUCAACUGUCGAUGGUAGGUUCUGCGCCUACCAUGGUCGUAACGGGUAACGGGGAAUCAGGGUUCGAUUCCGGAGAGGGAGCCUGAGAAACGGCUACCACAUCCAAGGAAGGCAGCAGGCGCGCAAAUUACCCACUCCCGGCACGGGGAGGUAGUGACGAAAAAUAACGAUACGGGACUCAUCCGAGGCCCCGUAAUCGGAAUGAGUACACUUUAAAUCCUUUAACGAGGACCAAUUGGAGGGCAAGUCUGGUGCCAGCAGCCGCGGUAAUUCCAGCUCCAAUAGCGUA
This 625-nucleotide ribosomal RNA is filed under the name Antiporus blakeii. RNAcentral's name for it is "SSU rRNA". It matches the Rfam family "Eukaryotic small subunit ribosomal RNA", at positions 6 to 601 of the family's 1831-position model. Lineage: Eukaryota; Metazoa; Arthropoda; Insecta; Coleoptera; Dytiscidae. The record is from RNAcentral.